UACGUAGGGGGCUAGCGUUGUCCGGAAUCAUUGGGCGUAAAGAGCGUGUAGGCGGUCCGGUAAGUCCGCUGUGAAAGUCGGGGGCUCAACCCUCGAAUGCCGGUGGAUACUGUCGGGCUUGAGUACGGAAGAGGCGAGUGGAAUUCCUGGUGUAGCGGUGAAAUGCGCAGAUAUCAGGAGGAACACCUAUUGCGAAGGCAGCUCGCUGGGACGUUACUGACGCUGAGACGCGAAAGCGGGGGGAGCAAACAGG
Molecule: ribosomal RNA, 253 nt
Filed under: uncultured bacterium
Lineage: Bacteria
Description: partial 16S ribosomal RNA
Rfam family: Bacterial small subunit ribosomal RNA
Source: RNAcentral